AAACCGUAGAUAAAAGUCAACGCCACAUAUUUUUCUAAGUCAUGAACUCAUUCUUCUCCUCUCGAUUUGUUUUCUCUGUCAAAGAUAAGUAAACAGCAAAACCCUAAAAUCCAUGAUAUUGCACAUUCUAAUCAAACCCCAUCGUCAAUCCCAACCAAGGCCGAAGCAAAGCAAUUUGUUUCUAUCAUGAUUUGGUUCUCUUUCCUCUGGAUUCAUCUUCUCUAUCAAAGUCAAGUAAACAGCAAAACUCUGAAAUCCAUGAUAUUGCACAUUCUAAUCAAACCCCAUUGUCAAUCCCAACCAAGGCCGAAGCAAUGCAAUACAUCUCUAUAACAAUUUGGUUCUCUCUCUCCCUUUCGAUCCAUUCGUUUCUAAAGGUACCAUUUUUUUCUUCUUAAUAAUUAAUUUUGUAAUUUAUAGUUUAUAUUUUGCUCAUACAUGUUGUUUUAUUGCGCUUUAACUAUAGAAUGGGCGUUAAAAUUCUUAAUUCUUUCAGUAAACUUGAUUGUUUGUAACUGCCUGACACUUUCUGUCAUUUCAUUCUAUGGAGUUUUGUUAGUAAUGCUUAUGAUUUUAUCAUCACAUUCAAAAAAUUGCAAAUUUAGAGAAUGAAUUUAAUUAUGCCAUGUAGUUUAGGAGACUUAUUAGAUAUUUCACACCAUUAAUUAAUUUCAUAUGCACUUUCAUUGGAUUUGAUGGAUUAUAAUGUCAAUGUAAAUGCAACAAAUAAGACGUGAAUAAUUGAACAUUGAUUAUUGACUAUGGCAGGCAGCUUGUCUUUUAUUUUUUUGGUUGCAUGAUCUUUAAAUUAAUAAUUUUUUUUUGAAAGGGAACUUUUGUUUCCUAUAUAGGAAACUUUUGUUUGGUUUUUAAUAUGACAUUAUUGACUUUCGACCAAAAUAUUUAGUUUGUUAUUACUUUUUGUUGAAUCUUGCAUUUUUCUUUUCUAAUCACCUAAAUCAAUAUGUUCAGUUCUAUCUCUCGCUUCUGAAUAAUCACAAAAGUAUUGGGUAUAAAAGUUGUUUUCAUCUGGUAAGUCUUACAAAUCACUCACUUUUUUUUUGUUUCUAUUAUUGUUGUGUUCUGAGUUUUACUUGUAUUAACAUUUUUUAAUUAUUUACAUGCACGAUUUUUGUUUUGUUUUUGUUGCAUAGGUUAUUUUGGAAUUAAAUUGAUUGUUUUUUGAUAUACAUAUACUUAUGUUUAUUCUAAUAUGAAAGUGAAGUUUUGAAAAAUGUGUAUGGCAUGUUUUGUUGACUUGUUGAUGUGAACAUGUAUUUAAGUGACUUUAAGCAACAAAACUUUGCUUUGUUUUGUAAUUUGUAUUUUUGUUUUAAACCUAAAAGUUUGAAGUUAUUUGUGCAAAUUUAAUUAAACUUAUUAGGCUAACAAUAUCUAAUAAAUCAACAGGCCAAAAUACAUGUUAUAGACAAAACUUGGAUAUUCUGUGAUUGAUUGUCCGAUGAGUAUUAUGAUGGGGUUGAUGAAUUCUUGAGGAGUUUGCCAUUAUUAAUUUUGAAAAUAGAAUGUCGAUUAGAUGCCCAUGUACCUCUUGUUGUAAUAUGAAGUUUUUGACCCCUGAACAAGUGAGGCUACAUCUAUUUAAAAAAUGUUUUUUAAAAAUUUAUUUAGCUUGGAAUUGACAUGGUGAGGUAGACCCAAAACCUACCUUUGCAAAGUGCCAAGACCAGUAAAAGAUUCAGCAUUUUAAAUGUCCGAAUUACAGUAAUUUGGGUGACAUGGUUCAUGAUGAUUUCAAGCACUGUGACAAAGAUCCUAGUUCCUUUAAGAAUAUGCUUGAAGAUGUUGAAAAAACCUUAUAUCUGGGUUCAAAGCAUUCAAAGCUAUCGGGUUUAAUGAAAUUGUACAAUAUAAAAGGACUUUAUGGCUGGCCUGACAGUGGGUUUUCAGCUUUAUUAGAAGUCUUCAAUGAGAUAUUGCCAAAUGAUAAUAAUAAGUCUAAGUCAGUGUAUGUGGCCAAAAAAACAAUGAAGAUAUUAGUCUUAGAGUAUGAGAAAAUACAUGCAUGUCCAAAUGAUUGCAUUUUUUUAUAAGAAUGAGUUCAAAAAUCUUAUUGAAUGCCCAAGCUAUGGAGCAUCUAGGUGGCAAAUAAGAAAAGAUGGAUCUAAACAAAUUAAAAAAAUGGAUGCCUAAAAAGAUAUUAUGGUAUUUUCCAAUAAUUCUUAAAUCCAAAAGAAUGUUUCAAUUACCAAAAACUGUUGAGAACUUAACAUUGCAUGAAAAUAAAAGAACUAGAGAUGGCAAGCUUUGCCACUCGGCAGAUUCACUGGCUUGGCAGCUAAUUGACAAUAAAUGGCCUGAUUUUCCCCAAGAGCCGAGAAAUCUUCAAUUGACUUUAUCAUCUAAUGGGAUUAAUCCAUAUAGCACACUUAACAUGACUUAUAGUUGUUGGCUUGUUACAUUGAUAACAUAUAAUCUUUCUCUAUUGUUGUGUAUGAAGAGAAAGUUUAUGAUGUUAUCUGUACUGAUAUAUGUGUUAGCAUUUAUGUAUUCACAAUGUUGAUUUUGAUGAUAACAAACAAAAUUAAGAAUGAUUAAGUUUUUAAAAGCUCAAAUUAUUUUUUUACACAUUUUAAAUAAAUCAUUUUUUUCACAUUAUAAAUGUUUUAUAUUUAAUGAAAAAAUGAUUUUAUAAAAUUGGUUGUUUUUCUAGUUUAUGGUCUAAUUGAAAGAAUUUUGAGAACUUUGAAAUUAACAAGUAUUGCUUAGAAUUCUAGAGAAGGACUUAUGUGAAAAGUUUCAUAUUGUUUUACGCCACAAUAUAAUUUUAUAAAGUUUUGGGGUAAAAAUAUAAUUAUGGAAAAUAGUUCACCGUAGCAUUCACUGUAGCAAACGACUAACCGACAUCUUGAUAACUGCACUAACGGCGAUCCGAUAUCUUGAAAACGGCGAUCCGACAAUUUGAAAUUAUGUCCAACGAUAACUUGGACCAGUCAAAACGGCAAUCCGAAUUUGAGUUAAUGGCGAUCCGACUUCAAGCAAAAAGUCAAUAACGGCUAGUUUUCAGCUUUAACUAUAAAUAAGCUCAAUCAAAUUCAAAUAAGUGUGAAUCACAAUAUUAUCAUUGAGCUUGUAAUCGAGAAUACAACAUUCAUUGAGUUUUAAAUUCAUUCUUGAUUCAUUUAUUCACAUAUUGAGCAUACAUUUGUAAUCAAACACAUUGUGUGAGAGAAAAUUCAUUUAUAAUCUUUAUCAUUGAGUGGUCGUAAGUGUUAGGAUACACUUGGGUUAAGAGAUUGAGGAUAAUCUCUUGUUGUAAAGGUCCAUUGACACCUUGGAAGUCAAUUGUAAGCGCUUGAAGCCUUGAGAGGCUUGGAUAGUGAAAUCCUCAAUCUCGGUGUGCUUGGAGGCGUGGACGUAGGCAGGGAUUGCCGAACCACGUAAAAAUCCUUGUGUUUGUUUUUUCUUCCCUUACUCUUUUAUUAGUGUGCUUGAUUGAAUUUAUCAUUUUUUAUUCCAUUAUCUUUUAUUAGUGUGCUUGAUUGAAUUUAUUGUUUUUGAUUCCAUUAAGGCAUUAGAUUGAAUUGUUGUGUGGCUUAUUUUGCAUAAGUUUUAAUAUCCUAAUUCACCCCCCUCUUGGGUUGCCUAGUUAGUAUUUCAAUCUGGCCCUAAACAACCUAGAAAUAAUAUAGAUGUAUACCUAGUGCCUCUGGUUGAGGACUUGAAAACCCUAUGCGAUAUUGGAGUUGAUGUGUUCGAUGUAUAUAGGAAAGAAAAUUUUAAUUCACAGACUGUGUUGAUGUGGGCAAUUAGUUACUUCCCAGCAUAUAGGAACCUGUCUGAGUGUACUUUUAAGGGAUACUAUGGUUAUCUAAUUUGUGGGAUAAACAUAUGUGUAUGUUGGCUGCCGUAUAGUCGAAAAAUGUUAUAUAUAAGCCAUAGACAGUUUUUUAAGAACCCUUUUAAACCUUUGUCUAGUGCAGAGAUCUUAAAUUUAGUGAUUGAUAUUGACACCAAGUUUGGGAAAAAAAUCCAAAAAAAGUGAAAACAUGAUGAGGGUGAGGAUAAGGGUGAGGGUAACGGUAAGGGGAAGGGUGAUGGUGAGGGUGAAGGUAAGGGUAAUGGUGAGAGUGAAGGCAAGGGUGAUGGUGAAGGUGAAUGUCAGAGUAAAGGUGAUGGUGAGGAUGAGGAUGAGGGUGAUAGUAAGUGUAAUGGGGAUUUAGCUUGGUUGUUGUACAAAAAGAUAACACUUGUUAGUUCGCCAUCAACUAGAUGUGAUGCACAUUACGAAAAAUAUGUGUGAGAGCAAAUAUGGCACAUUACUCCAUUAAUUUGGGAAAACAAAAGAUUGAAUUAAUGCUAGAAAAGAUCUUACCCGUCCAAAGUUUAGAGAGAAAAUAAAUAAAGCAUUUAUUGCAUUAGCUCCUAAUGAACAAAGUAAAGUCUUACCAAUUGUCCCAUGCACUUUAAGUAAGAAAGAGAAAAAAAAUGUUCUGUGAAACCUUACGAGAUGUUAAAGUUCUUGAUGGUUAUUGUUCUAACUUUAGAAAUCAUGUUUCAAUGGAUGAUUGUCAUCUUCACGGGCUUAAGUUUCAUGAUCGUCAUACUUUGAUGCAAUAACUACUACCAUUGACAAUUUAAAAUUGUUUGGUUGAAAAUGUUAGAUUUGUCAUAAUCAAGUUGUGCCUCUUUUUUAAUUCUUUGUGUUCCAUAGUAAUAUAACUUGAUUCUCUCAGCCUCUCAACCAAUUGCAAGAGGAACUUCUAACUUGUCAAUUAUGUGAAUUGCAAAGAUGUAAUAUUUGAAUUGCUUGCUGCUUAAUGCUUGGAAUUUGCAAUAUCUAUAUUUAUAGUAGCUAGGGAUGAGGGGAAGUACUUUGUAUGCUUAAGAUAAUCGCAUGCACUUUACUUGGCAUAUGUAUUAUAGGUAAAAGCUACAUAACUAUGUCCAGAUUUUAUCCUACUAUAGUUUUAAAUGGAGUGGGCAGAUUCAUUACUUCAACAUAAUCUAUCAAUAUUUUGUUGAAUGCAUUCAAGAUGUUGUUUGGCAAAAUUGAUGCUAAUUUUUAGUGUGUUCUGCUUGCAUUUAAGGACUUUAGUGCAAACCAGAACGACCGCAGUUGUUGGAUGUAGAAAUGGAAGUCGUAUGAAG
RNAcentral lists this long non-coding RNA (5112 nucleotides) under Citrus x clementina. RNAcentral describes it as "Citrus clementina (C. clementina) long non-coding RNA (CCLE_LNC000317)". The record is from RNAcentral. Lineage: Eukaryota; Viridiplantae; Streptophyta; Magnoliopsida; Sapindales; Rutaceae.